RNAcentral lists this ribosomal RNA (458 nucleotides) under uncultured beta proteobacterium. RNAcentral describes it as "bacterial SSU rRNA". It matches the Rfam family "Bacterial small subunit ribosomal RNA", at positions 202 to 641 of the family's 1533-position model. The record is from RNAcentral. Lineage: Bacteria; Pseudomonadati; Pseudomonadota; Betaproteobacteria.
GAAAGCAGGGGAUCGUAAGACCUCGCGCUAUUGGAGCGGCCGAUGUCCGAUUAGCUAGUUGGUGGGGUAAUGGCCUACCAAGGCGACGAUCGGUAGCUGGUCUGAGAGGAUGAUCAGCCACACUGGGACUGAGACACGGCCCAGACUCCUACGGGAGGCAGCAGUGGGGAAUUUUGGACAAUGGGCGAAAGCCUGAUCCAGCCAUGCCGCGUGAGUGAAGAAGGCCUUCGGGUUGUAAAGCUCUUUCGGCCGGAACGAAAUCGUCCGGGCUAAUACCCCGGAUGGAUGACGGUACCGGAAGAAGAAGCACCGGCUAACUACGUGCCAGCAGCCGCGGUAAUACGUAGGGUGCAGGCGUUAAUCGGAAUUACUGGGCGUAAAGCGUGCGCAGGCGGCUUCCUAAGUCAGAUGUGAAAUCCCCGGGCUUAACCUGGGAACUGCGUUUGAAACUACAAGGC